AAACGGGAGAGAUCCGAAAGGUCGAAAGGGGGGGACUCAAUCCCGUCCGCGAGUCCGGUGCCGUUCUCGGUCACAAGGAUGCUGCCGGCCGCCGACCGCGUCGCAAGGCGCGAGUCGGGUCGGAGUCGGUGGCACCGAGGCUGGGGGCUCGGCCGCGGCGAGGUGCAAUUCUCCCCCCGAGUAGGACGUCGCGACCCGUUGGGUUUCUCGUCCGGCCUAAGGCCCGGGAAUUGACCGAGGUGGCUGCCGCGCCUUUGGCGCGGGUCAACGGUCUCCUCGGACCCUGGAUGUCCUGGCCGGCGCCCGACGGGAUGCUUCGCGGAGAAGGCCCGCUCCCUCUCGGAGCGUCCGGCCCGGUGGACAAGCUCGAGGGUGGGCACGAGGUGCCGUGGCUUCCGCCACGUCCCCGGCUCCCGUCGGCUGCUGGUCUCCGGAGUCCUCGGACGGUGGCCGUCUCCCGUCUGCGGCGCUUUUGCUUCGGAUGCUUUCCCGACCCGUCUUGAAACACGGACCAAGGAGUCUAACAUGUGCGCGAGUCGCUGGGAGCUCUCGCUAAACCCGGAGGCGCAGUGAAAGCGGACGUGCGGUCCUCUUCAGGGCCGCCGUCGGGAGGAUGCCGUGCGGAGAUCCCGCUCGGCCGCACUCCCGGGGCGCCUCGGCCUCUCGGCCGCAGGCGCACUCGGAGCGCACACGUUGGGACCCGAAAGAUGGUGAACUAUGCCUGGUCAGGACGAAGUCAGGGGAAACCCUGAUGGAGGUCCGCAGCGAUUCUGACGUGCAAAUCGAUCGUCAGAGCUGGGUAUAGGGGCGAAAG
This 814-nucleotide ribosomal RNA is filed under the name Tribonium sp. MNHN PG2. Its description in RNAcentral is "eukaryotic LSU rRNA". The stretch from base 511 to 814 matches the Rfam family "Eukaryotic large subunit ribosomal RNA", at positions 665 to 929 of the family's 3401-position model. The record is from RNAcentral. Lineage: Eukaryota; Metazoa; Arthropoda; Insecta; Blattodea; Blaberidae.